GACGAACGCUGGCGGCGUGCCUAAUACAUGCAAGUUGAGCGAUGAAGCUUGGUGCUUGCCCCAAUUUGAAGAGCAGCGAACGGGUGAGUAACGCGUGGGGAAUCUGCCUUUGAGCGGGGGACAACAUUUGGAAACGAAUGCUAAUACCGCAUAACAACUUUAAACAUAAGUUUUAAGUUUGAAAGAUGCAAUUGCAUCACUCAAAGAUGAUCCCGCGUUGUAUUAGCUAGUUGGUGAGGUAAAGGCUCACCAAGGCGAUGAUACAUAGCCGACCUGAGAGGGUGAUCGGCCACAUUGGGACUGAGACACGGCCCAAACUCCUACGGGAGGCAGCAGUAGGGAAUCUUCGGCAAUGGACGAAAGUCUGACUGAGCAACGCCGCGUGAGUGAAGAAGGUUUUCGGAUCGUAAAACUCUGUUGGUAGAGAAGAACGUUGGUGAGAGUGGAAAGCUCAUCAAGUGACGGUAACUACCCAGAAAGGGACGGCUAACUACGUG
RNAcentral lists this ribosomal RNA (497 nucleotides) under uncultured bacterium. Its description in RNAcentral is "partial 16S ribosomal RNA". It matches the Rfam family "Bacterial small subunit ribosomal RNA", at positions 28 to 507 of the family's 1533-position model. The record is from RNAcentral.